UUUCUUCUCCCCUACUUUCCUCUCCCCCUUUCCUCUCCCCUACUUUCCUCUCCCCCUUUCCUCUCCCCUACUUUCCUCUCCCCUACCCCCUUAUAGCUCUUCUGUCUCUCUCUCUGCGGCACGUUGGUGUGGUAGGUAGAUUAUGUCUCCUCUCUCUGCGGCACUGUGGUGUGGUAGGUAGAUUAUGUCUCUCUCUGCAGCACUGUGGUGUGGUAGGUAGAUUAUGUCUCUCUCUGCAGCACUGUGGUGUGGUAGGUAGAUUAUGUCUCUCUCUGCGACACUGUGGUGUGGUGGGUAGAGGUAGAUUAUGUCUCUCUGCGGCACUGUGGUGUGGUAGGUAGAUUAUGUCUCUCUCUGCGGCACUGUGGUGUGGUAGGUAGAUUAUGUCUCCUCUCUCUGCGGCACGGUGGUGUGGUAGGUAGAUUAUGUGUCCUCUCUCUGCGGCACGGUGAGGUGGUAGGUAGAGUACAUCUCCUCUCUCUGCGACACUGUGAGGUGGUAGGUAGAGUACAUCUCCUCUCUCUGCGACACUGUGAGGUGGUAGGUAGAGUACAUCUCCUCUCUCUGCAACACUGUGGUGUGGUAGGUAGAUUAUGUCUCUCUCUGCAGCACUGUGGUGUGGUAGGUAGAGUACAUCUCCUCUCUCUGCAGCACUGUGGUGUGGUAGGUAGAGUACAUCUCCUCUCUCUGCAACACUGUGGUGUGGUAGGUAGAUUAUGUCUCUCUCUGCAGCACUGUGGUGUGGUAGGUAGAUUAUGUCUCUCUCUGCGACACUGGUGUGGUAGGUAGAUUAUGUUUCUCUCUGCGGCACUGUGGUGUGGUAGGUAGAGGUAGAUUAUGUCUCUCUCUGCGGCACUGUGGUGUGGUAGGUAGAUUAUGUUUCUCUCUGCGGCACUGUGGUGUGGUAGGUAGAGGUAGAUUAUGUCUCUCUCUGCAGCACUGUGGUGUGGUAGGUAGAUUAUGUUUCUCUCUGCAGCACUGUGGUGUGGUAGGUAGAUUAUGUUUCUCUCUGCGGCACUGUGGUGUGGUAGGUAGAGGUAGAUUAUGUCUCUCUGCGGCACUGUGGUGUGGUAGGUAGAUUAUGUCUCUCUCUGCAGCACUGUGGUGUGGUAGGUAGAUUAUGUUUCUCUCUGCAGCACUGUGGUGUGGUAGGUAGAGGUAGAUUAUGUCUCUCUGCGGCACUGUGGUGUGGUAGGUAGAUUAUGUCUCUCUGCGGCACUGUGGUGUGGUAGGUAGAGGUAGAUUAUGUCUCUCUGCGGCACUGUGGUGUGGUAGGUAGAGGUAGAUUAUGUCUCUCUGCGGCACUGUGGUGUGGUAGGUAGAGGUAGAUUAUGUCUCUCUCUGCAGCACUGUGGUGUGGUAGGUAGAUUAUGUUUCUCUCUGCAGCACUGUGGUGUGGUAGGUAGAGGUAGAUUAUGUCUCUCUGCGGCACUGUGGUGUGGUAGGUAGAUUAUGUCUCUCUGCGGCACUGUGGUGUGGUAGGUAGAGGUAGAUUAUGUCUCUCUGCGGCACUGUGGUGUGGUAGGUAGAGGUAGAUUAUGUCUCUCUGCAGCACUGUGGUGUGGUAGGUAGAUUAUGUCUCUCUCUGCAGCACUGUGGUGUGGUAGGUAGAUUAUGUUUCUCUCUGCAGCACUGUGGUGUGGUAGGUAGAGGUAGAUUAUGUCUCUCUGCGGCACUGUGGUGUGGUAGGUAGAUUAUGUCUCUCUGCGGCACUGUGGUGUGGUAGGUAGAGGUAGAUUAUGUCUCUCUCUGCGGCACUGUGGUGUGGUAGGUAGAUUAUGUUUCUCUCUGCGGCACUGUGGUGUGGUAGGUAGAAUUUUGCUCUCUGGUUUAAUUGGUCAAGUAAAAGUAGUGCUUACAGAAUAAGGUGGAUAUUUUGUUUUUAAAUAGCUGGUAUCUAUUCAUGUUUAUUAGACAUUUCAAUCUUAUUACAAGUUACAUUGUUUUUGUUUUAUAUAUUUGUUUUCUGCAAUAACAACAUCCGUUGUAGCUGCAUUUACUGCUGGUCCAGUUAGACUCCAUGUUAAUAUGUAGUAUUCUUCAGUUCUCUCUGGUAGCAACCAGCUAGCGACACAGAGGACAGCCUCCGGACAGGCCUUCUGUACUCUUCUAUAUGAUCAGUUUAGAUUCUAAUCUAUAACAAUAAUAUGUUUUCUGUAACGUUACCGUAAUCGUUCUAUAGCGUUAUUGAUAAUCCCUGGAUGCUACUGCGUUUUUUGUUCUGCAUGACUGAAAAUGGAAUUAACGCAACAAACCAGCCGGCGAGAUCGACCCAGAGUCGACCUUUUAUCAGAACCUUCUUUUUCUUUCUGUCCACUAGUUUUUUUUUAAAUGUUGUGUUUUUCAUGUCGUUGUUGUUUCUACUUCUCUGAUGAACAACUGUGGGUGUGUAGCGGAAUGCAUCUUAUGAGCACAAGAUGUUGAAAAUAAGUCUUUCAAACUAUUUUGCUCACUGGGUAGAUAGGCAGCUGCAGCUUGUGAAACGAACUUGUUUUACUAACUCCUGUACCAAGGCAGCAGACAUUCCUUCCUAUAGGGAACCUAGGACAGGUGUUGCAUUCAUAUCAGUAUUAGUAUAGCUACUAACUUAGUAACAGAAAGGUGGUGAUUUAGUGUUGCAACAUUCCGGAAACAUUCCCUGAAAAUUCCUUGAUUUUUUUCCGGAAAAUCCUGGUUGGAAAAUCCACAAAUCUUCCAAACAACCAGAAUUGAUAGAAAACCUGAGAAUUUUGGGGGAUGUAACCGUAAGGUGCAAAUCUAGUGGUGAAGGUGACAGAACAUGGUUAAAGCUUAAGGGUUGAUGAAGCACUGUCUAUACAGCUCUUAUAUGCCCUUACAUUCCAUCAUCCCAAGUCAAAUCUAUAGUUCCUGUAACUACACCAAGGCUACACGUCCUACAUGGAACCCUAUUCCCAAUGUAAAGCUUCACACUUUGUCUGGCCACAUUUAGUGCAUAACGAUUAGGGAUGUCAUUAGGGACGGAGCCUAAACCAUAUUCUCUCAGAGACCGGAUCCAGCUGAACCUAAACCAUAUUCUCUCUGAGACCGGAUCCAGCUGAACCUAAACCAUAUUCUCUCAGAGACUGGAUCCAGCUGAACCUAAACCAUAUUCUCUCAGAGACCGGAUCCAGCUGAACCUAAACCAUAUUCUCUCAGAGACCGGAUCCAGCUGAACCUAAACCAUAUUCUCUCAGAGACUGGAUCCAGCUGAACCUAAACCAUAUUCUCUCAGAGACCGGAUCCAGCUGAACCUAAACCAUAUUCUCUCAGAGACCGGAUCCAGCUGAAACUAAACCAUAUUCUCUCAGAGACCGGAUCCAGCUGAACCUAAACCAUAUUUUCUCAGAGACCGGAUCCAGCUGAAACUAAACCAUAUUCUCUCAGAGCUGAUCCAGCUGCUAGUCAGUUGAUGUUAUUAUUAUUGACUUUAAUCUGAGUUCAGAUUUAAACAAAAACUAAUGUAUAGUUCUUCAAAGAUGACUGGUUGAUUUUCACAUUGUACUUUCGGUAAAUGUUAUGAGAGAACUAAAACGUUGAUAAUGUCCUUUAAAAGAAUGAUCAAUUAUAAUGUGCAUGAACAGAAAGGGAAGAGGUGUAGUGUCCAGAGGUCAUUUCGUUAUAAAAACGCGUCACUAGGGUCGCACAUUUCCGGUGACCUGGGAAUUAUUAUUUUUUUGGAAAGCUACCAGAAUUUUUCAAAAACAUUUGGAGGCUCUCACUCAUUCUGCUAUGGCAACACAAUGCCCUACACGCUGUAGGAAAAUCACUUAAUAAAAAAACAACUUUUUAUAUAUAGUUAAUUAUGAGACCAUCAUUACGCUGUGCGUAACGAUUGUACAGAGAAAAUUGUAGGUAUUUUUUGAGGAUCAAUUUGUUUAAUGACAUGUAGCUAUUUAAUUUUCCCCCUUUUUUUUGUUUGUGUAUAAAAUAAAUGUUUUAAAAAGUU
Long non-coding RNA from Oncorhynchus tshawytscha (Chinook salmon), 3946 nucleotides. RefSeq lists it as uncharacterized. The record is from RefSeq and is a predicted model, not a curated record. The transcript has 3 exons. NCBI's taxonomy places the organism in Eukaryota, Metazoa, Chordata, Actinopteri, Salmoniformes, Salmonidae.